This 1347-nucleotide long non-coding RNA is filed under the name Numida meleagris (helmeted guineafowl). Its description in RNAcentral is "lncRNA (ENSNMEG00000020026.1)". Lineage: Eukaryota; Metazoa; Chordata; Aves; Galliformes; Numididae. The record is from RNAcentral.
CUUGCAUUGACAUCAGGUAUGUUUUUCUGCAGGUACAUGUAAUUUAUUCCCGACAAUUCAUCGAUCAACCAGUCAAAACAUACAUCUGAAAGUGAAACUCUUGUCUGAGAAGAAAGGUUAAGAUGGAAAAAAUAAAAACCACGUCUGCUCCCCCCACGGGCUUUUUUUGGGUAGUGGAACACCUGAGCUCAUUGGAGCUUCAGUGCAUUACUAAUUCAACUGACAAGGCUGCCUAUGAGACACAGCGUUCAAAGAGACAGAGGGAAGAACUCAUAAGAUUGAGUGUCAGGACACAGCUGAGUUUGUGUUGAAGUGCAUCAUGCAAGCUCAGCGUCCCUGAACUGCAGGGGAGACCACCACAAUUUGUUUAUGAAUGCAGCUGUGUGCAUUACUGGAACUUUAUCACUUUUUUUUACCCCCUUCCAACCGGUGCAUAAUGUUUCAAAGGUAUCCCUGACUUGAUGCUUCAAAAUCCCUUUCUGCUUAACAACAGAAGAAUCCAAGGACAGAAAUCCCAUCUCUGUCCACCAAACAUCUGGAAUGAAAAGGAAGCCAUACAUUGCUGUGGCCUGACUCACUUCAGUAUGAAUUGUGCUGGUGAUUUGACUUCUUUCCAACUGACAGUGAACUGAGACUGCAGCUCAGAAUGUACAGCAUGCAUGACCAAAUACAUGGCAUAGACAGUUCCACCUCAAACUGAGAAAGGACCACAUAGUAUAUAACCCUCUGAAGACUUGGUCUGAGUCAUUAGGAAUGUGCUCUGCAGCUCUGGGACAUCUCUGGCUCCAUUCACUCUUAGUAAUGGUAAAACUGAGCUGAGACUGAAGAGUCAAAACUUCCAACACUUCAGGGAAAUAUGAGGUUUAAAGGCAUCCUUAAAUGGAAAAAUAGUGAAAUUGAACAGAAUUUUUUUAGUCUAGGCAUCUCUGUGAGUUUUCUGUGUAUAGAUUUUGGGGAUACAAGGAGGCAGAAGGACACUCUCUGCAGUUGAGUAAAUCAUUUUGGCAGAAAAUACUUUGUUUGCCUAGAUGUGAAACUCAAGACAUUGUUCAAACUGAGAUUUCAUCCAAGUUAUGAUUCAUUACUUCAACAUAAUCUGCAAGCUAACAUGCAAGUGAGGCUGUCCAACACAGGAGAUUCAGAUCUACUGAUUUAUUCUAGUAUGGUAAUCAAACUCCAUCUCCAACAGCCAAGGGAACACCCACCAAUACAUGAAUGAUUUCAGUGAGCAAAUUUGUUACUUUGACAACAAACCAAACAAAGAUAGCUCCUUCCUAUAUAAGCAACACAACCUUCAACUAUAACCAGCUGCCUUAUCAUUAUCCCAAUCCAACAAGGAGGAUUAUU